Molecule: non-coding RNA, 82 nt
Organism: Purpureocillium takamizusanense
Lineage: Eukaryota; Fungi; Ascomycota; Sordariomycetes; Hypocreales; Ophiocordycipitaceae
Source: the annotation of a RefSeq genome assembly
GGCCAAAUGGUCUAGUGGUAUGAUUCUUGCUUUGGGCCAGCUCAACUGCAAGAGGUCCCGUGUUCAAUCCACGGUUUGGCCC